UUCCUCUCUAUGACGGGCGGGCCCCACCCCGGCCUUCCCUUUCCUCCAGCCGCACGGGCACGCGCCCAGCGCGCCGCCGCCACAGGCAGCCGAACCGGCCGCGCCUCUCACCUCCUCGUCCUUUCCCCUUCCCUCGGAAGUGGAGCACUAGCAUCGUUCUCUCUCCCUUCCUCUUCCCCACUUCCUCUCCCCAUUCACUCCGAGGGAAACGGCCGGCGCCACUAAUGGCAGCCGCCGACCUCUCCCUUCCCGGAUUUCUCUCUCCCUCUCCUUUCUCUCUAUAAAUAUCGACGCCGAGCCCCCAUGGAUCCGUUCCCCGGCCACCCAAGCUCGCCCCACGCCAUCUCCUCUCUCGCCGCUCUCGCCGACGCCCUGCUCACCAACGACCGGAGCCGCUGGAGCGCCAUCGCCAUCGAGGACCACUAAAGCGCCGCCGUCGAGGACCGCCCGGAGCACGCCAACUGCCUCCCUUUCUUCUAGCCGUGCCCCUGCUCCCUGGCUGGCCCCCUGCUCUUCGAUUUCGUCCCUCUGCAAGGACUAGUGGAACAAGAAGCUGAUUUUGUGGUGGAGGACCCAAAUACGUUUGAGGACGACACUCAAGACACUUCUGAACAAAGAAAAUGGAUUCUCCCUCUGCAUUUCUUAUUGUACCCAAAUAAUAAAUUCAACAAGAUUUACUUCUGGAUACGUGCAUAAUUUGAUGGGUUUUGCGUAAAAUAGAAUAACCUAUUAAUACCAACCUUAUUCCUUGAUUAACUUGGGAUUAAUACUAUGCUUAGUAGUUGCGCUAUUGCUUAACUUUGUCAUUAUGAUGUCACUUUCUUUAAGAUGUUAUUUUUCUAGAGAUAAAAUUUAUACUAUGAAUGUUAAUAUGAUGAUUAAACAUGAACAUUUUGUAUUAAAUGGAACAUGGAGUGACGACCCAGGAAAAAAAGUGCAACCACGAGUGCUAUCAUGGAUCUGGCUUAGUAAAUAGCUUUAUAGAUUUAGUGUUUAGCAACCCUACCUGAAAGAUGGACAAGAGGGGGCAACCGUGGUUUGGUGGCAGCUCAUGUUAACAUGGGGUGGUAGUCUUGGCUAUGGCGCCUCAUCCAGAGGGUCACUAACAUUGACGUGGAAACCUUAGCUCGUGACUUUGUACUAAGGAUAUUUUGUGAAAGAGCCUCAUAGUGGAUCCCUAGCAUUUCACCUUUGUAGUGUUUAAGAGUCCGUACAACCCAGUAUAGAGGGGAUACACGACUUGUGGGUAAAGUUGUACCACAUCUGCAGAAUAUAAAACUGAUAUGUUAGCCAUGUUCACGGUUAAGAGUAGCAUGGACCCUCACAUGAUAAGUGAACUUAAAGAUGGAGAAUAAAUCGUGAUUUAAAAUGGUUUGCUUAAGUGGUUUCACAUAAGUGUUUUUGAGAUAUAAUCAUUAUGCUCAUGAUUUAAUUGGGUUUUGGGAUACAUUUACAAUUAGUAAGUUAAGUGUUGUUAAUAAAAUAUUGACCAACUAAAAUGCUUACCUCCUAACCAUAACCUACCUUGUUAACCUUGCAUAAGUCCUCCCAUUUGUUGAGCCCCCACCGUAAGUGAGCUCACCCCUUGCUAAAUUUUUUAUCAGAAGCUGAUGAGGAAGACUUUGACAAAGAUGUUAACGAGUACUUAGUCUAGCGACGCUCCGGUCAUCUUCUGUGGGAGAUGCCUAUGAUAUUUCUGUUGUACUUUGAUGAUUAUAAUAUUUAAGACUCUUAUGUCUGGAUGAUGUAAUAAAGUUAUUAUACUCUCUUUUAAACCUUUAUUGCA
Zea mays is the source of this 1786-nucleotide long non-coding RNA. RefSeq lists it as uncharacterized. NCBI's taxonomy places the organism in Eukaryota, Viridiplantae, Streptophyta, Magnoliopsida, Poales, Poaceae. The transcript has 2 exons. The record is from RefSeq and is a predicted model, not a curated record.